Molecule: ribosomal RNA, 450 nt
Filed under: uncultured bacterium
Lineage: Bacteria
Description: partial 16S ribosomal RNA
Rfam family: Bacterial small subunit ribosomal RNA
Source: RNAcentral
GUGGGGAAUAUUGGACAAUGGGCGAAAGCCUGAUCCAGCCAUGCCGCGUGUGUGAAGAAGGUCUUCGGAUUGUAAAGCACUUUAAGUUGGGAGGAAGGGUAGUAACCUAAUACGUUGCUACUUUGACGUUACCGACAGAAUAAGCACCGGCUAACUUCGUGCCAGCAGCCGCGGUAAUACGAAGGGUGCAAGCGUUAAUCGGAAUUACUGGGCGUAAAGCGCGCGUAGGUGGUUCAGUAAGUUGGAAGUGAAAUCCCCGGGCUCAACCUGGGAACUGCUUUCAAAACUGCUGAGCUAGAGUACGGUAGAGGGUGGUGGAAUUUCCUGUGUAGCGGUGAAAUGCGUAGAUAUAGGAAGGAACACCAGUGGCGAAGGCGACCUCCUGGACUGAUACUGACACUGAGGUGCGAAAGCGUGGGGAGCAAACAGGAUUAGAAACCCCGGUAGUCC